AGAAAACACUGCAGGUGAAUGCAUGACAUCAUGGAUCAAUCACCAGAGAAAACACUGCAGGUGAGUGCAUGACGUCAAUCACCACAGAAAACACUGCAGGUGAAUGCAUGACAUCAUGGAUCAAUCACCAGAGAAAACACUACAGGUGAGUGCAUGACGUCAAUCACCAGAGAAAACACUGCAGGUGGUGCAUGACGUCAAUCACCACAGAAAACACUGCAGGUGAAUGCAUGACAUCAUGGAUCAAUCACCAGAGAAAACACUACAGGUGAAUGCAUGAUAUCAAUCACCAGAGAAAACACUGCAGGUGAAUGCAUGAUAUCAAUCACCACAGAAAACACUGCAGGUGAAUGCAUGACAUCAAUCACCAGAGAAAACACUACAGGUGAGUGCAUGACAUCAAUCACCAGAGAAAACACUGCAGGUGAAUGCAUGACAUCAAUCACCAGAGAAAACACUGCAGGUGAGUGCAUGACAUCAAUCACCAGAGAAAACACUGCAGGUGAGUGCAUGACAUCAAUCACCAGAGAAAACACUACAGGUGAGUGCAUGACGUCAGUCACCACAGAAAACACUGCAGGUGAAUGCAUGACAUCAUGGAAUCAAUCACCACAGAAAACACUGCUAGUGUGUGCAUGACAUCAUGGAUCAAUCACCAGAGAAAACACUACAGGUGAGUGCAUGACAUCAAUCACCACAGAAAACACUACAGGUGUGUAUAUGGCAUCGAUCCCUGAACACUACAGUUAACAAAGUCUAUAGAAAAGUGUAUGGUAUCAAUCUCCAGACAGACUACUGCAGGCGAGUGUAUAUUAUUGAUAUCAAUCAAUAUGAUUGAUUGAUAUGGUAUGAUAUGAUAUGGUAUCAAUAAUUACAACAAACACUAAAGGUGUGUGUGUGUGUGUGCGUGUGUGUGUGUGUGUGUGCGCGUGCGCACGCAGGGUCGGAUUGGGAGAGAAAGUUUUUACCAGGGCUUUCACAGACUCCUGCAGCCACUAGAAUUAUUUAAGCUCCAAAAAGUGAUUCAUAUAACUGAC
Ictalurus punctatus (channel catfish) is the source of this 1037-nucleotide long non-coding RNA. NCBI's taxonomy places the organism in Eukaryota, Metazoa, Chordata, Actinopteri, Siluriformes, Ictaluridae. The record is from Ensembl.